CCUACGGGAGGCAGCAGUGAGGAAUAUUGGUCAAUGGGCGAGAGCCUGAACCAGCCAAGUCGCGUGAGGGAGUACUGCCCUCUGGGUUGUAAACCUCUUUUGUCGGGGAGCAAAAGCCGGACGUGUCCGGCUGUGCGAGUACCCGAAGACAAGCAUCGGCGAACGUCGUGCCAGAAGCCGCGGUAAUAAGGAGGAUGCGAGCGUUAUCGGGAUUUAUUGGGUUUAAAGGGGGCGCAGGCGGAAUUUGAAGUCAGCAGUCAAACCGUGGGGCGAAACCCCAGCCAGCCGUUGAAUCUGGGGAUCUAGAGUGUACGAGGGGUAGGCGGAAUGCGUGGUGUAGCGGUGAAAUGCGUAGAUAUCACGAAGAACCCCGAUGGCGAAGGCAGCAUACCGGUGCGCAACUGACGCUCAGGCACGAAAGCGUGGGGAUCGAACAGGAUUAGAUACCCCUGUAGUC
This 457-nucleotide ribosomal RNA is filed under the name uncultured bacterium. RNAcentral's name for it is "partial 16S ribosomal RNA". It matches the Rfam family "Bacterial small subunit ribosomal RNA", at positions 338 to 795 of the family's 1533-position model. The record is from RNAcentral.